CAGUAGCCGCGGGAAUACGGAGGGGGCUAGCGUUGUUCGGAAUUACUGGGCGUAAAGCGCACGUAGGCGGCUUGGUAAGUUAGAGGUGAAAGCCCAGGGCUCAACCCUGGAAUUGCCUUUAAGACUGCCGAGCUAGUAGGUGAGAGAGGUGAGUGGAAUUCCGAGUGUAGAGGUGAAAUUCGUAGAUAUUCGGAAGAACACCAGUGGCGAAGGCGGCUCACUGGCUCAUUCUAGACGCUGAGGUGCGAAAGCGUGGGGUGCAAACAGGAUUAGAUACCCCCGUAGUCCCUGUCUCUUAUAC
RNAcentral lists this ribosomal RNA (301 nucleotides) under uncultured bacterium. RNAcentral's name for it is "partial 16S ribosomal RNA". It matches the Rfam family "Bacterial small subunit ribosomal RNA", at positions 509 to 807 of the family's 1533-position model. The record is from RNAcentral.